AACCUAGCACACCUGCGGUGUGUACCUGCGGAAGGAUCAUUACAUGAUUUAACAGGGAGUGGAGGCUUCGGCCAAAGCUCUGUCUGAACCCAUGUCUUUUGCGUACUUCUUGUUUCCUCGGUGGGCUUGCCCGCCGAUAGGACAACCUUAAACUCUUUGCAAUUGCAAUCAGCGUCUGAAAAACUAUAAUAGUUACAACUUUUAACAAUGGAUCU
This 215-nucleotide unclassified non-coding RNA is filed under the name soil metagenome. RNAcentral describes it as "partial contains 5.8S ribosomal RNA, internal transcribed spacer 2, and large subunit ribosomal RNA". The record is from RNAcentral.